AAAAAAGGAAGGGUGCAGGGAAGGUACUUCCCGCUGGUUUAAGGAGGGUGCUCAGGCACGAUAGUGCCGUCGAAGGGAAC
This 80-nucleotide non-coding RNA is filed under the name unclassified sequences. RNAcentral describes it as "Clostridiales-2 RNA". It matches the Rfam family "Clostridiales-2 RNA". The record is from Rfam by way of RNAcentral.